GACGAACGCUGGCGGCGUGCUUAACACAUGCAAGUCGAACGGAAAGGCCCUGCUUUUGUGGGGUGCUCGAGUGGCGAACGGGUGAGUAACACGUGAGUAACCUGCCCUUGACUUUGGGAUAACUUCAGGAAACUGGGGCUAAUACCGGAUAGGAGCUCCUGCUGCAUGGUGGGGGUUGGAAAGUUUCGGCGGUUGGGGAUGGACUCGCGGCUUAUCAGCUUGUUGGUGGGGUAGCGGCUUACCAAGGCUUUGACGGGUAGCCGGCCUGAGAGGGUGACCGGCCACAUUGGGACUGAGAUGCGGCCCAGACUCCUACGGGAGGCAGCAGUGGGGAAUAUUGCACAAUGGGCGGAAGCCUGAUGCAGCAACGCCGCGUGCGGGAUGACGGCCUUCGGGUUGUAAACCGCUUUCGCCUGUGACGAAGCGUGAGUGACGGUAAUGGGUAAAGAAGCACCGGCUAACUACGUG
This 468-nucleotide ribosomal RNA is filed under the name uncultured bacterium. Its description in RNAcentral is "partial 16S ribosomal RNA". It matches the Rfam family "Bacterial small subunit ribosomal RNA", at positions 28 to 507 of the family's 1533-position model. The record is from RNAcentral.